GAUGAACGCUGGCGGCGUGCCUAAUACAUGCAAGUCGAGCGAACGGACGAGAAGCUUGCUUCUCUGAUGUUAGCGGCGGACGGGUGAGUAACACGUGGAUAACCUACCUAUAAGACUGGGAUAACUUCGGGAAACCGGAGCUAAUACCGGAUAAUAUUUUGACCCGCAUGGUUCAAAAGUGAAAGACGGUCUUGCUGUCACUUAUAGAUGGAUCCGCGCUGCAUUAGCGAGUUGGUAAGGUAACGGCUUACCAAGGCAACGAUGCAUAGCCGACCUGAGAGGGUGAUCGGCCACACUGGAACUGAGACACGGUCCAGACUCCUACGGGAGGCAGCAGUAGGGAAUCUUCCGCAAUGGGCGAAAGCCUGACGGAGCAACGCCGCGUGAGUGAUGAAGGUCUUCGGAUCGUAAAACUCUGUUAUUAGGGAAGAACAUAUGUGUAAGUAACUGUGCACAUCUUGACGGUACCUAAUCAGAAAGCCACGGCUAGCUACGUG
Molecule: ribosomal RNA, 497 nt
Filed under: uncultured bacterium
Lineage: Bacteria
Description: partial 16S ribosomal RNA
Rfam family: Bacterial small subunit ribosomal RNA
Source: RNAcentral